This 360-nucleotide RNase P RNA is filed under the name Flavobacteriales bacterium. RNAcentral describes it as "RNase P RNA component class A". It matches the Rfam family "Bacterial RNase P class A". Rfam says of the family: Ribonuclease P (RNase P) is a ubiquitous endoribonuclease, found in archaea, bacteria and eukarya as well as chloroplasts and mitochondria. Its best characterised activity is the generation of mature 5'-ends of tRNAs by cleaving the 5'-leader elements of precursor-tRNAs. Lineage: Bacteria; Pseudomonadati; Bacteroidota; Flavobacteriia; Flavobacteriales. The record is from RNAcentral.
AUUGCAAACCGUUCUAUCGCUCCGUAUUUAUAUAUGGGGAGGAAAGUCCGGGCUCCAUUGGGCAAUGCAGCGGGUAACACCCGUCGCCUCGAUUAGAAGCUUGCUUCGUUUCGGGGUAGGACCAGUGCAACAGAAAGAAUGUACGUCCUGAUAAUUCGCUUGCGAAUUCGUCAGGAGCUGUAGUGAAAUCAGGUAAACUCUGCGUGGAGCAAGACCAAAUAAAGGGAGAGAGGCUGCCCGCCUCGUUUGAUCCCAGGGUAGGUCGUUAGAUCUUACCAGUAAUGGUAAGGCCAGACAAAUGAUAGAAGCCCAGGCGAUUUCGUCUGGGAACAGAACCCGGCUUAUAGGUUUGCUAUUAUU